RNAcentral lists this transfer RNA (49 nucleotides) under Polyodon spathula (Mississippi paddlefish). Its description in RNAcentral is "tRNA-Gly". The record is from RNAcentral. Lineage: Eukaryota; Metazoa; Chordata; Actinopteri; Acipenseriformes; Polyodontidae.
ACAAGUGACUUCCAAUCAUUUAGCCUUGGUUAAAAUCCAAGGAAAGGUA